GUGCACGCUGGCGGUAGGCCUAACACAUGCAAGUCGAACGGCAGCACAGUAAGAGCUUGCUCUUACGGGUGGCGAGUGGCGGACGGGUGAGGAAUACAUCGGAAUCUACUUUUUCGUGGGGGAUAACGUAGGGAAACCUACGCUAAUACCGCAUACGACCUACGGGUGAAAGCAGGGGAUCUUCGGACCUUGCGCGAUUGAAUGAGCCGAUGUCGGAUUAGCUAGUUGGCGGGGUAAAGGCCCACCAAGGCGACGAUCCGUAGCUGGUCUGAGAGGAUGAUCAGCCACACUGGAACUGAGACACGGUCCAGACUCCUACGGGAGGCAGCAGUGGGGAAUAUUGGACAAUGGGCGCAAGCCUGAUCCAGCCAUACCGCGUGGGUGAAGAAGGCCUUCGGGUUGUAAAGCCCUUUUGUUGGGAAAGAAAAGCAGCAGGUUAAUACCCCGCUGUUCUGACGGUACCCAAAGAAUAAGCACCGGCUAACUUCGUG
RNAcentral lists this ribosomal RNA (491 nucleotides) under uncultured bacterium. RNAcentral describes it as "partial 16S ribosomal RNA". It matches the Rfam family "Bacterial small subunit ribosomal RNA", at positions 29 to 507 of the family's 1533-position model. The record is from RNAcentral.